This 348-nucleotide ribosomal RNA is filed under the name Triticum aestivum (bread wheat). RNAcentral's name for it is "partial small subunit ribosomal RNA". The record is from RNAcentral. Lineage: Eukaryota; Viridiplantae; Streptophyta; Magnoliopsida; Poales; Poaceae.
AUGCUGAAAGAAGGACUAAUCACUCCAAGCAUUAGCCCGUUCUCAUCACUGGUGCUGUUAGUCAAGAAGAAAGAUCUUACCUGGAGAUUCUGCGUGGAUUUUCAACAUCUGAACACCAUCACCGUCAAGAACACAUACCCCUUGCCGAUCAUCGAUGAAUUGCUCGACAAACUAGCAGGAUCCAAAUGGUUCUCGAAGCUCGACCUGCAAGCAGGAUACCACCAGAUCAGGCUGCGACCGAAGGAUGAGGAGAAGACAGCGUUUAAAAUGCAUCAGGGGCACUUCCAAUUUCGAGUGCUUUCAUAUGGAGUGACAAGUGGACCAGCCACGUUUCAAGGAGAUCAGUGA